Molecule: ribosomal RNA, 400 nt
Filed under: uncultured bacterium
Lineage: Bacteria
Description: bacterial SSU rRNA
Rfam family: Bacterial small subunit ribosomal RNA
Source: RNAcentral
UGGGGAAUCUUCCGCAAUGGGCGCAAGCCUGACGGAGCAACGCCGCGUGGGUGAAGAAGGCCUUCGGGUUGUAAAGCCCUGUCUUAUGGGAAGAAGUCAGUGACGGUACCAUAGGAGGAAGCCACGGCUAACUACGUGCCAGCAGCCGCGGUAAUACGUAGGUGGCGAGCGUUGUCCGGAAUUACUGGGCGUAAAGGGCGCGCAGGCGGGUUUUUAAGUCAGAUGUGUAAUCUACAGGCUCAACCUGUAGUUUGGAUCUGAUACUGGAAAUCUUGAGUGCAGGAGAGGACAGUGGAAUUCCUAGUGUAGCGGUGAAAUGCGUAGAUAUUAGGAGGAACACCAGUGGCGAAGGCGGCUGUCUGGCCUGCAACUGACGCUGAGGCGCGAAAGCGUGGGUAGC